Molecule: ribosomal RNA, 253 nt
Filed under: uncultured bacterium
Lineage: Bacteria
Description: partial 16S ribosomal RNA
Rfam family: Bacterial small subunit ribosomal RNA
Source: RNAcentral
GACAGAGGGUGCAACCGUUGUUCGGAAUUACUGGGCGUAAAGCGUGUGUAGGCGGUCGACUAAGUCGGAUGUGAAAGCCCUGGGCUCAACCCAGGAAGUGCACUCGAAACUGGUCGGCUAGAGUAUCGGAGAGGUUGGUGGAAUUCUCGGUGUAGAGGUGAAAUUCGUAGAUAUCGAGAGGAACACCGGUGGCGAAGGCGGCCAACUGGACGAAUACUGACGCUGAGACACGAAAGCGUGGGGAGCAAACAGG